CAGGAGGGACCACCCUCCAAGGCUAAAUACUACCUAGUGACCGAUAGCGUAUAGUACCGUGAGGGAAAGGUGAAAAGAACCCCGGGAGGGGAGUGAAAUAGAACCUGAAACCCUGCACUUACAAGCUGUGGAAGCACAUUUCUUGUGUGACCGCGUACUUUUUGUAGAACGGGCCAACGAGUUACGUUAAGUAGCAAGGUUAAGCACUUAAGGUGCGGAGCCGUAGCGAAAGCGAGUUUUAACUGAGCGUUCAGUUACUUGACGUAGACCCGAAACCGGGCGACCUACCCAUGAGCAGGAUGAAGCGAAAGUAAAAUUUCGUGGAGGUCCGAACCCACGAGCGUUGAAAAGCUCGGGGAUGACUUGUGGGUAGCGGUGAAAUUCCAAUCGAGCCCGGAGAUAGCUGGUUCUCCCCGAAAUAGCUUUAGGGCUAGCCUCAAGGUGAGAGAUACGGAGGUAGAGCACUGAAUGUCCUAGGGGGUAUUGCACCUACCGAAGACUAUCAAACUCCGAAUGCCGUCAUCUUAUACUUGGGAGUCAGACUGUGGGUGAUAAGAUUCAUAGUCGAAAGGGCAACAGCCCAGAUCGUCAGCUAAGGUCCCUAAAUGUAAGUUAAGUGGUAAAGGAUGUGGGAUUGCACAGACAACCAGGAUGUUGGCUUAGAAGCAGCCACUCAUUCAAAGAGUGCGUAAUAGCUCACUGGUCGAGUGAUCCUGCGCCGAAGAUUUCCGGGGCUAAAACUUACUACCGAAGCUACGGCAUCAGUAAUGAUGGGUAGGGGAGCUUCCCAUACGGGUUGAAGCAUGACCGUAAGGACAUGUGGACAGUAUGGGAGUGAGAAUGUUGGCAUGAGUAGCGAGAUGUGGGUGAGAAUCCCACAGGCCGUAAACCCAAGGUUUCCAGGGGAAGGUUCGUCCGCCCUGGGUUAGUCGGGACCUAAGCUGAGGCCGAAAGGCGUAGGUGAUGGACAACAGGUUGAUAUUCCUGUACUACCGAUAACCGUUUGAGAGAAGGGAUGACACAGUAGGAUAAGCUAAGCACACUGUUGGUUAUGUGUGCCCAAGCAUUGAGGCAGUCAAAGUAGGCAAAUCCGCUUUGAUAAUGCUGGGAUGUGAUGGGGAGCGAAAUUUAGUAGCGAAGUAGCUGAUUUCACACUGUCAAGAAAAGUCUCUAUCGAGGUUAAAGGUACCCGUACCGCAAACCGACACAGGUGGGUGAGGAGAGUAUCCUAAGGCCAGCGAGAGAACUGUUGUUAAGGAACUCGGCAAAAUGACCCCGUAACUUAGGGAUAAGGGGUGCCACCAUCAGGUGGCCGCAGAGAAUAGGCCCAAGCGACUGUUUACCAAAAACAUAGGUUUCUGCUAAGUCGCAAGACGAUGUAUAGGAGCUGACGCCUGCCCGGUGCUGGAAGGUUAAGGGGAUCUGUUAGAGCAAUCGAAGCAGUGAACUUAAGCCCCAGUAAACGGCGGCCGUAACUAUAACGGUCCUAAGGUAGCGAAAUUCCUUGUCGGGUAAGUUCCGACCCGCACGAAAGGCGUAACGAUUUGGGCACUGUCUCAACAACAGACUCGGUGAAAUUGUAAUUCCGGUGAAGAUGCCGGAUACCUGCGACAGGACGGAAAGACCCCAUGGAGCUUUACUGUAGCUUGACAUUGGGUCUUGGUACUACAUGUACAGGAUAGGUGGGAGGCUUUGAAACCAGGACGCCAGUUUUGGCGGAGCCAUCCUUGGGAUACCACCCUUGUAGUACUGGGACUCUAACCAUAGGCCAUGAAUCUGGUCUUGGGACACUGUCAGGUGGGCAGUUUGACUGGGGCGGUCGCCUCCCAAAAGGUAACGGAGGCGCUCAAAGGUUCUCUCAGUACGGUCGGAAAUCGUACGUAGAGUGUAAAGGCAAAAGAGAGCUUGAUUGCAAGACAUACAGGUCGAGCAAGGAUGAA
Molecule: ribosomal RNA, 1940 nt
Filed under: Clostridioides difficile
Lineage: Bacteria; Bacillati; Bacillota; Clostridia; Peptostreptococcales; Peptostreptococcaceae
Description: bacterial LSU rRNA
Rfam family: Bacterial large subunit ribosomal RNA
Source: RNAcentral